RNAcentral lists this transfer RNA (86 nucleotides) under Felis catus (domestic cat). It matches the Rfam family "tRNA". Rfam says of the family: Transfer RNA (tRNA) molecules are approximately 80 nucleotides in length. Their secondary structure includes four short double-helical elements and three loops (D, anti-codon, and T loops). Further hydrogen bonds mediate the characteristic L-shaped molecular structure. tRNAs have two regions of fundamental functional importance: the anti-codon, which is responsible for specific mRNA codon recognition, and the 3' end, to which the tRNAs corresponding amino acid is attached (by aminoacyl-tRNA synthetases). tRNAs cope with the degeneracy of the genetic code in two manners: having more than one tRNA (with a specific anti-codon) for a particular amino acid; and 'wobble' base-pairing, i.e. permitting non-standard base-pairing at the 3rd anti-codon position. The record is from Rfam by way of RNAcentral. Lineage: Eukaryota; Metazoa; Chordata; Mammalia; Carnivora; Felidae.
GCCUGGGUGGCUCAGUCGGUUAAGCGUCUGACUUCAGCUCAGGUCAUGAUCUCAUGCCCUUGUGGGUUCAUGCCCCGCGUCGGGCU